Salmo salar (Atlantic salmon) is the source of this 72-nucleotide non-coding RNA. Lineage: Eukaryota; Metazoa; Chordata; Actinopteri; Salmoniformes; Salmonidae. The record is from Rfam.
CCCACUGUAGCUCAGUUGGUAGAGCGUGGCGCAUGCAACACCAGGGUUGUGGGUUCGAUUCCCACGGGGGGC